UAACACAUGCAAGUCGAGCGGAAAGGCCCUUCGGGGUACUCGAGCGGCGAACGGGUGAGUAACACGUGAGCAACCUGCCCUUGGCUUCGGGAUAACCAUCGGAAACGGUGGCUAAUACCGGAUACGACACGAGGUCGCAUGAUCUUCGUGUGGAAAGUUUUUCGGCCAGGGAUGGGCUCGCGGCCUAUCAGCUUGUUGGUGGGGUGAUGGCCUACCAAGGCGACGACGGGUAGCCGGCCUGAGAGGGCGACCGGCCACACUGGGACUGAGACACGGCCCAGACUCCUACGGGAGGCAGCAGUGGGGAAUAUUGCGCAAUGGGCGGAAGCCUGACGCAGCGACGCCGCGUGAGGGAUGACGGCCUUCGGGUUGUAAACCCCUUUCAGCAGGGACGAAGCGAAAGUGACGGUACCUGCAGAAGAAGCACCGGCCAACUACGUGCCAGCAGCCGCGGUAAGACGUAGGGUGCGAGCGUUGUCCGGAUUUAUUGGGCGUAAAGAGCUCGUAGGCGGCUCGUCGCGUCGGUUGUGAAAACUCUAGGCUUAACCUGGAGCUUGCAACCGAUACGGGCGGGCUAGAGUUCGGUAGGGGAGACUGGAAUUCCUGGUGUAGCGGUGAAAUGCGCAGAUAUCAGGAGGAACACCGGUGGCGAAGGCGGGUCUCUGGGCCGAUACUGACGCUGAGGAGCGAAAGCGUGGGGAGCGAACAGGAUUAGAUACCCUGGUAGUCCACGCUGUAAACGGUGGGUGCUAGGUGUGGGGGACCUCUCCAGGUCUCCGUGCCGCAGCUAACGCAUUAAGCACCCCGCCU
Molecule: ribosomal RNA, 810 nt
Filed under: uncultured bacterium
Lineage: Bacteria
Description: bacterial SSU rRNA
Rfam family: Bacterial small subunit ribosomal RNA
Source: RNAcentral